UAGGGAAUCUUCCGCAAUGGGCGAAAGCUUGACGGAGCAACGCCGCGUGAGUGAUGAAGGUCUUCGGAUCGUAAAACUCUGUUAUUAGGGAAGAACAAAUGUGUAAGUAACUAUGCACGUCUUGACGGUACCUAAUCAGAAAGCCACGGCUAACUACGUGCCAGCAGCCGCGGUAAUACGUAGGUGGCAAGCGUUAUCCGGAAUUAUUGGGCGUAAAGCGCGCGUAGGCGGUUUUUUAAGUCUGAUGUGAAAGCCCACGGCUCAACCGUGGAGGGUCAUUGGAAACUGGAAAACUUGAGUGCAGAAGCGGAAAGUGGAAUUCCAUGUGUAGCGGUGAAAUGCGCAGAGAUAUGGAGGAACACCAGUGGCGACGGCGACUGUCUCGUCUGUAUCUGACGCUGCUGUGCGAAAGCGUGGGGAUCAAACAGG
This 429-nucleotide ribosomal RNA is filed under the name Actinomycetes bacterium. RNAcentral describes it as "Actinobacteria bacterium partial 16S ribosomal RNA". It matches the Rfam family "Bacterial small subunit ribosomal RNA", at positions 355 to 776 of the family's 1533-position model. Lineage: Bacteria; Bacillati; Actinomycetota; Actinomycetes. The record is from RNAcentral.